Molecule: unclassified non-coding RNA, 3245 nt
Filed under: Leishmania donovani
Lineage: Eukaryota; Euglenozoa; Kinetoplastea; Trypanosomatida; Trypanosomatidae
Description: gene:LdHU3.33.4000(CDS-product:3-oxoacyl-acyl_car rier_protein_synthase_ii_putative)
Source: RNAcentral
CCGAGACAUACACACACGGUAGCAUCUUAUCUGUGACUCCACCGCAUACGGUCCUUCCGCGACAGCUGCACGCGGACAAAGCAUGGGCUUCGGCGCUCUUCCGACCCGCACACCACGCCGUGUCGUGGUGACCGGUAUUGGCAUGGUCACGCCCCUCGGCGUCACCGCGGUGGACACGUGGGCUGCUGUGUGCCGUGGUCAAUCCGGCUGUCGGCCGCUGAUUGAGGCUCCGUACUUUUUGCCCGGUUUCCUCGAAAACGACAAGAUGCUGUCUCCGCAGCAGAAGGCAGCGGCGCUGGAGAAGCUUAUCGCCGCCUUGCCGUGCAAGGUGGCUGCUUUCGUUCAGCCGCCAGCCGAGGUCGGGUUGGCGGCUGGCAAGGUGGACAAAGCAGUGCCUGCGGCCGAUCCGUUCGCGCCCACCGCCCACGAACCGCGGGCGCUUCGCUUAUGCGCGCGUGCGGUCGAGGAAGCGCUCGCCGACGCUGCGCUCCAACUCUCCGAGGCCGUGCAGGAUCGCUGCGGUGUCAACAUCGGCAUGGGCAUCCCCUCUCUUGCCGACGUGACGGACGUCUCCGCCUACCUGACGGGCGACGCCAUUGCCACCGAUGCGGGUCAUGUGCACUACAGCAAGGUCCCUCCAAUGUUUUUGCCGAAAAUCUUGGGCAACAUGGCAGCCGGCAACACGGCCAUCCGCCACAAACUGCGCGGUCCCAUCGGCAGCAGCGUGGCGGCGUGUGCAACAGGGGCGCACUGCAUUGGUGAGGCGGCCUUGUGGAUCCGUGAAGGCCGCGCGGACGUUAUGGUGUGUGGCGCAGCGGAGGCCUGCAUCACGCCGGUUUCCGUGGCCGGUUUUACAAGGAUGCGGGCACUGUGCACGCGGUUCAAUGACACCCCAUCGUCUGCCUCGCGGCCGUUCGACAUUACUCGCGCCGGCUUUGUGAUGGGAGAAGGCGCAGGUGUGUUGAUCCUCGAAGCGCUCGAGCACGCCGUGGCGCGGGCGGCGCCGCGCGUGUACGCCGAGCUGCGCGGCUUUGGCAUAUCGUGCGAUGCACACCAUGUGGCGGUGCCGCACCCCGAAGGGCUUGGUGCCCGCCGCUGCGUGGAGCAAGCCUUGGCGGAGGGAGGGGAUGUCCCUGCCUCGGCCGUCGGCUACGUUAACGCGCACGCGACGGGCACCAUCGGUGAUGAGGUGGAGCUGAUGGCGAUCCAGCAAGCAUUGCGACCUUCGACGGCACCAUCCUCUCCGGCGCUGCACGUGAGCAGCGCCAAAGGAGGGCUGGGUCACCUACUCGGUGCUGCUGGCAGCGUCGAGGCCGCGCUGACGGUCUUGGCGUUGCACGAGCAGCGCGCGCCGCCGACGGCGAACUUGACGACGUCGUGUCUCACGAGAGAGCAGCAGGAGUGCGGCUUGGUGUGUAUCCAAGGCAGCACCGCGCAGCCAAUGCAGAGAUGCGAGGCGGUAAUAUCGACAAGCUUUGGCUUCGGCGGAAUCAACACGGCCUUGCUCUUCACGCGCAUGUAGCUCCGGGAGAGACAGAUAGGCACACUGAGGGCGAGGAAGGGAAGAGGAGAUGCGCAGCUGACGCGCAUGCGCGGACUGCUCGUGCCGUAUGGUACAGUCAGUGCACCCUCGCCUCUGCCCUUUCCUUUUGUGCUGCCUUCUUCAGUGCGCCGCGCUGUGUCGCUGUGUGGUUCGCUCACCGCCUUCCCCACUUUUCUUCGCAGAGGUAACCAAGAGCGCAUGGGCCGUUGAAAAACACCAUUCUUGCAUCGAAGCGGCUUCUCAUCGUCCCCGUCUUCCUCACUCGAUCCCGCCUCGGAUCGGCAGCAGCACAGGCUGCCCAACAGUCGCGCGCCAUGCGCUAGGAACGUUUGGGCGUGCGUGCAGGUGUGUGGAUGAGUUUGCGCGCACAUGUGCGGCAGUGAACUGCAGCCAUCGACUCUAGCCCUUACACGUACACAUCUGCACGCAUGCGCGCACGCAAGCGAAUGAGUAAGCCGGGGCAGCGGCACAGGGCGGCACAGCCCGAGUUUUCCCCGCCAGCCGCGGGGGGGGGAGAGACUGAAAGACACGGAUUGUUGCUGCUCGCGUAGAUGCCUCUGGUCGCGCGCAUUUUUUUCUCUGGCCGAUCUUGGAGCGCUUUUGCCGCUCUUCUCACCUCGCAUCUCUUCGGCAAUGAAACCCUUUGAAGUCCCUAAUUGGAAUCCGUGGGUAUGGGCGUGUGUGUGUGUGUCUGUGUAUGCUUCGGUGCCUGCUGUUGUGCGGAUUGGCAGCCCCUGCUGCUUCUGGAAGCGGUGAGGAGAAGCGGAAUUUCGCCGCUGCGUCCUCUUCAUCUUUUCCGUUUACUCUGAAUCUCCACAUCCGUGCCCGCACUGCAUCCUGUUAGACUUCACAGCCUAUCAUUACUCGGCAGAGCGAGAGGGAUGGGCGAAACAGGCGCGUCGAGCUGCACACCGAUCUGCCCCACAGCGCAUGUGUGCGAAGCAUGCGGCAUAUCCCCACCAUCCGACCGAGUGGGCGGAGGAGGCACAGGCGCCGAGGGCAUGGCGAGCGCGCCCCGAACGGCACCACCGAGUCAUCCUGUGUCCACCGUGGAGAGGCACGACAUCUUUCUAUGGGAUGCGGCGGCAUGACGCGGCUGAGAGAUACGCAGGGCACGCAGGCAGGAGGGGCUGCGGCGCAGGGUCUCCGGGGGCCCUGGCCUGCGGCUGGUCGGCCCCCUCCCUGAGCUUAUCCGGCAUGCACCUGGGCCACCCCCUGCUACCCGCACGACAGACGCCACGACCUCCACCCCCCCCCUCCCCCUCCUUCAGCAGGACCCUGGCCGCGGCCCCGCCUGCGCCAAGGCGUGCGGUGCAGCCAUGUCCGUGUAGGCGCGCCUACCGCGCAGCACGUACCCCGGGAAUAGGCGAUGAAGGACAGGGAGCGCCCGGCAGGCGCAUGACCUGAUUCGACGGCGGACGGCGCGCCCCCUAGAGAACCAGGACGUCGCCGCUAAUGCGGCACAGGCAGGCGAGCUGUGGUUGUGUAGGCAUCUCUGUGUUGACGUGUUCCGGCUAGAAAGCCAGGCUGCAAAGAAAAAGAAACGAAAGCGUCGCAUCGCCUUCUCGUCCCGUGUUACUCUCUGUCCCUCUUGUGCUGGGAAAGGUAAAGAGAGUGCGUGCGCCUGAGAAACGCGCGCACACAUGUAAAAAGCAUGGCUCCGUCGCUUGCUCUUGUGCGCUGCUUGUUUGCAGUGGUGUGC